RNAcentral lists this ribosomal RNA (497 nucleotides) under uncultured bacterium. RNAcentral's name for it is "partial 16S ribosomal RNA". It matches the Rfam family "Bacterial small subunit ribosomal RNA", at positions 28 to 507 of the family's 1533-position model. The record is from RNAcentral.
GAUGAACGCUGGCGGCGUGCCUAAUACAUGCAAGUCGAGCGAACGGACGAGGAGCUUGCUUUUCUGAUGUUAGCGGCGGACGGGUGAGUAACACGUGGAUAACCUACCUAUAAGACUGGGAUAACUUCGGGAAACCGGAGCUAAUACCGGAUAAUAUUUUGAACCGCAUGGUUCAAAAGUGAAAGACGGUCUUGCUGUCACUUAUAGAUGGAUCCGCGCUGCAUUAGCUAGUUGGUAAGGUAACGGCUUACCAAGGCAACGAUGCAUAGCCGACCUGAGAGGGUGAUCGGCCACACUGGAACUGAGACACGGUCCAGACUCCUACGGGAGGCAGCAGUAGGGAAUCUUCCGCAAUGGGCGAAAGCCUGACGGAGCAACGCCGCGUGAGUGAUGAAGGUCCUCGGAUCGUAAAACUCUGUUAUUAGGGAAGAACAUAUGUGUAAGUAACUGUGCACAUCUUGACGGUACCUAAUCAGAAAGCCACGGCUAACUACGUG